GCCCAGGUAGCUCAGUGGUAGAGCACUUCCUUGGUAAGGACGAGGUCUCGGGUUCAAUUCUCGAUCUGGGCU
Molecule: transfer RNA, 72 nt
Filed under: Fibrobacter sp.
Lineage: Bacteria; Pseudomonadati; Fibrobacterota; Fibrobacteria; Fibrobacterales; Fibrobacteraceae
Description: tRNA-Thr
Rfam family: tRNA
About the family: Transfer RNA (tRNA) molecules are approximately 80 nucleotides in length. Their secondary structure includes four short double-helical elements and three loops (D, anti-codon, and T loops).
Source: RNAcentral